UACGUAGGGUGCAAGCGUUAAUCGGAAUUACUGGGCGUAAAGCGUGCGCAGGCGGUUUUUUAAGCCAGAUGUGAAAUCCCCGAGCUUAACUUGGGAACUGCAUUUGGGACUGGAAGGCUAGAGUACGGCAGAGGGGGGCGGAAUUCCACGUGUAGCAGUGAAAUGCGUAGAGAUGAUGGAGGAACACCGAUGGCGAAGGCAACCCCCUGGGCCUGUACUGACGCUCGAUGCACGAAAGCGUGGGUAGCAAACAGGGAUUAGAUACCC
RNAcentral lists this ribosomal RNA (267 nucleotides) under uncultured bacterium. Its description in RNAcentral is "partial 16S ribosomal RNA". It matches the Rfam family "Bacterial small subunit ribosomal RNA", at positions 524 to 787 of the family's 1533-position model. The record is from RNAcentral.